CCUACGGGAGGCAGCAGUGGGGAAUUUUCCGCAAUGGGCGAAAGCCUGACGGAGCAAUACCGCGUGAGGGAAGACUGCCUAUGGGUUGUAAACCUCUUUUUUCAGGGAGGAAUAAAAUGACGUGUACCUGAAGAAUAAGCAUCGGCUAACUCCGUGCCAGCAGCCGCGGUAAGACGGAGGAUGCAAGUGUUAUCCGGAAUCACUGGGCGUAAAGCGUCUGUAGGUGGUUUAAUAAGUCAACUGUUAAAUCUUGAGGCUCAACUUCAAAACCGCAGUCGAAACUAUUAGACUAGAGUAUAGUAGAGGUAAAGGGAAUUUCCAGUGGAGCGGUGAAAUGCGUAGAUAUUGGAAAGAACACCGAUGGCGAAAGCACUUUACUGGGCUAUUACUAACACUCAGAGACGAAAGCUAGGGUAACAAAUGGGAUUAGAUACCCCAGUAGUCCUAGCCGUAAACUAUGGAUACUAGAUGUUGAACAGAUCGACCUGUGCAGUAUCAAAGCUAACGCGUUAAGUAUCCCGCCUGGGAAGUAUGCUCGCAAGAGUAGAACUANAAAGGAAUUGACGGCNGAGACGUGCGACGACGACGACGAGGAGUAGG
RNAcentral lists this ribosomal RNA (600 nucleotides) under uncultured bacterium. Its description in RNAcentral is "bacterial SSU rRNA". It matches the Rfam family "Bacterial small subunit ribosomal RNA", at positions 338 to 950 of the family's 1533-position model. The record is from RNAcentral.